This 161-nucleotide unclassified non-coding RNA is filed under the name soil metagenome. Its description in RNAcentral is "partial internal transcribed spacer 1". The record is from RNAcentral.
CAGAGUGUAACAACUCCCAAAACCCUUUGUGAAUCUGCCUAGUCAUUGUUCCUUCGGUAGGCGGUCCCUGGGAGGGAUCUGUAGCCCGCGUGGUGCCUGCCGGAGAACGAUCCAAACUCUGUUACUUUGGUACUAUUCUGAGUCAUUACAAAAUAAGAUAA